Molecule: unclassified non-coding RNA, 444 nt
Filed under: Hevea brasiliensis (rubber tree)
Lineage: Eukaryota; Viridiplantae; Streptophyta; Magnoliopsida; Malpighiales; Euphorbiaceae
Source: RNAcentral
GAGAGAGAGAGAGAGUCUGAGGAAUUCCAAACUGAGAGGAAGAGAAGAGAUAUAGAGAGAAGAAAUGAGGCUAAAGGGAAGUGUGAAUUCUUUUCUUUGCUUGUUUGAAUAUUUUUGGAGUGGAGAAGUUUCAGCUUAUUCUUUGCCAAUGCUGCCUUUGGCUCUUACCUCUGGUUUUAAAUGGCUAUUCAUGUUUCUCUCUUUUAUUUAAUUCAUUGGAUUGGAUGGCCUGCUUUUGCCCUUAUGGCUUGUCUCUUCCAACUCACUCCAACUCCCAAAUUUUCCUUAUGACCAAAAUACCUCCUUUCGCUUUCUUCAAGCAAAAGCAACCUCCAAAGGGAAAUCCCACUAAUGGGUUAAAUAUUAUCUGGAUGGAUAGGGGAAGCACUGAGGAUCCAGAAAUUUGGAGCUUUUACAAUUACUGAACAGGAGGCCCAAUUUGGC